Danaus plexippus (monarch butterfly) is the source of this 2040-nucleotide long non-coding RNA. RefSeq lists it as uncharacterized. NCBI's taxonomy places the organism in Eukaryota, Metazoa, Arthropoda, Insecta, Lepidoptera, Nymphalidae. The transcript has 3 exons. The record is from RefSeq and is a predicted model, not a curated record.
CAUAAAACUGAAGGGAAUUCAGUACAUAUGUCAGAUACAAAAAAAAGCAGAAGAUUUUAACUAAAACUAUAUUUUUCGGAUACGAUUUCUAUAUUUUACUCGAUGAUUCGCUUAUUUUACAGCAAACAUGAUCUCUUGAUAACUAAAUGUGAUGUGAUAAUCUGAUAACUAACAUUAAUAAAUGAACCCCAAAAAGUCGUAUAGGUUAUCGGAAAUAUGAGAAUGGAUAUAACACAAAAUAUCUGCGUUAGCAAGUCACGGCGGUCACCCAUCCAAGUAUUAACCAUGUCCUAUGUUGCUUAACUUCGGGAUCGGACGAGAACCGGGAAACUCUUUUUACGAGCCGUCUCACCGGCCUUGGUGGGGCCCGAGAGGAUGUGUGAGACUCGACCUGGGCAGGUCCCUACUCAUUAACACCACUGCGAAAGGCAUCGGCCGCUACGUUGGUGCACCCCGGAUCUGUCAGGGACAGGGCACACCAGCGACUGGCCGGUCCUGGCAAAGACCGGACUUACUCCCUCGGAGAAAGGAGGCGAUCCCGGCAAUUAGGAUCGCCCCGACGAAUGAAUAGGAUUACAUGAUCGAGCCGAUGUUGGAAUAGAAAUGCUGUCUCACUUCUUUUGGGGUAUUAGGAAUCUUCACAAGGUUCCGUGUUCGUAUUGUGGAGUCAACAGUUUAUACAUACAAUGGUGUUGCCAUACACACAUAUGUUCGUUAAAUUUUUAAUAAAUGUUUUCCGAGGCAAAAUGAAACAAUUGAUAGUUGAUUGAGUUCAUAAUAUUUUCUCUAUAGUAUUUGGUUUACCUAUAAUUAAACUCUCUGGAAUGUUUGUUACGAGUGAUGGUAGAAUUUUUCUUAUCUUUUAAUGAGCUUAGACCGUCUGAAAACACAGAAAUGCUUUAAAAAUAAUCAAAAAUUCAUUAACCCAUUGCCAAUACACCUUUGCAAAGAUAUUUUGAAUUUUGAUUUAUAUAUAUUUAUAUCACGAAUAAUCUCUGCGUGAAUAUUAUUUAACAUCAACAUUGUUUUGUAUAAAAACAAUUUACUGUUUUUUUUCACAGUACGUUAUGGUAUUGUUUUCAGAUCUACAUCUUAUAACAAAAGCACAAGCUUCAGUACUGUAUUUAUAACACUGGUCGUGCUUGUAAUGUGUUUCAAGGUUAAAUUCUAGACACUUAUUUGUUUUUGUAAACGAUUCUCGUUACGACUCUCACUAUUGUAAUAUCUAUACUAAUUCUGAUAAAAUUAAAAUUUAAAAAAAGCGUAACAGCUUCAAAUUAAUUAAGAUUAAGACCGUCACUCAUUUUAGAGAGGUAAAACAGAUAAGGUCACAAUUUAAAGAAAUUAAAAAUAAUCUCUUUGACAAAAAAAAAAAAUUGAGACUCGCUCUUUCUUAUCAAUGAAUUCAAAAGAUAUCGUUGUUAUGAUUUACCCCAAGAUUCAUUUGAACCUUUACAGAAAUAAAACCAUUAUUAGAGAAUAUGGAUGUAUUAUGCUAAUAUUGUCUACAUUCAAGCAUUAUAUAUUUACAUAUUUAUAUAAAGUAAAUUCUAUGUAUGAGUAUGUCGUACCUGUAUAGUCGUACCAGAAUCCUUUACAUAGAAAAUUGAUAGAUGAUAUAUAUUGCGCAAGUGGAAAAUAAAUUUUGUAAAGGUAAUAACUUUAUCUAACUAUUUGAUUGUUUCAUUCCUAGUAAAGUUCAUUACCAUAGAGAAGGUAAGUAGAAACAUCUUUUAAAAAAAUAAAUGUUACGCAAAUAAGACCUAUAUUUUUCGGAUUUACUACGCGUUUAAUGAGAUGUUUAUAUCUCGUCUGCCCGUGACCACGGUUGCUGAAAAGUAAUCGAAACGUCGGGAUUAUCCAGUUUUUUAAAAUAAUAGUUUUAUUUAAAUGAAUACUCGCAAAAGUCUUAGAAGUUAGAUCACAUUAAAUGUCACGUAAUUAUAAUUGUUUAGUGUUUCUUGAAAUGUUGCCCGCUGUGAUAAUAUUUACUUUAGACAUAUUUUAAUUUUAAUAAAAAUGUAUUUAUUAUAAGUGUUA